CCUACGGGUGGCAGCAGUGGGGAAUAUUGCACAAUGGGGGAAACCCUGAUGCAGCGACGCCGCGUGAGGGAAGAAGUAUUUCGGUACGUAAAGCUCUAUCAGCCGGGAAGAAAAUGACGGUACUUGACUAAGAAGCCCCGGCGAACUACGUGCCAGCAGCCGCGGUAAUACGUAGGGGGGAAGCGUUAUCCGGAUUUACUGGGGGUGAAGGGGGCGUAACCGGCAGCACAAGUCUGAAGUGAAAUCCCAUGGCUUAACCAUGGAACUGCUUUGGAAACUGUGCAGCUGGAGUGCAGGAGAGGUAAGCGGAAUGCCUGGUGUAGCGGUGAAAUGCGUAGAUAUUAGGAGGAACACCGGUGGCGAAGGCAGCUUACUGGACUGUAACUGACGUUGAGGCUCGAAAGCGUGGGGAGCAAACAGGAUUAGAUACCCGGGUAGUC
Molecule: ribosomal RNA, 440 nt
Filed under: uncultured bacterium
Lineage: Bacteria
Description: partial 16S ribosomal RNA
Rfam family: Bacterial small subunit ribosomal RNA
Source: RNAcentral